AUCUAUAUAGUUUAAUUAAAACAUAACAUUUUCAAUGUUAAAAUAAUUUUAAUAUUUAUAGGUU
Molecule: transfer RNA, 64 nt
Filed under: Physemacris variolosa
Lineage: Eukaryota; Metazoa; Arthropoda; Insecta; Orthoptera; Pneumoridae
Description: tRNA-Glu
Source: RNAcentral